RNAcentral lists this ribosomal RNA (518 nucleotides) under uncultured bacterium. Its description in RNAcentral is "bacterial SSU rRNA". It matches the Rfam family "Bacterial small subunit ribosomal RNA", at positions 8 to 518 of the family's 1533-position model. The record is from RNAcentral.
AGGGUUCGAUUCUGGCUCAGGAUGAACGCUAGCGGCAGGCUUAACACAUGCAAGUCGAGGGGCAGCGGGAUGUAGCAAUACAUUGCCGGCGACCGGCGGAUGGGUGCGUAACGCGUAUGCAACCUACCUUAUACAGGGGAAUAACCUUUCGAAAGGGAGACUAACACCCCAUGGUAUUGAUUUAAGGCAUCUUAGAUUAAUUAAAUAUUUAUAGGUAUAAGAUGGGCAUGCGUAUGAUUAGCUAGUUGGUAAGGUAACGGCUUACCAAGGCGACGAUCAUUAGGGGUUCUGAGAGGAAGGUCCCCCACACUGGUACUGAGACACGGACCAGACUCCUACGGGAGGCAGCAGUGAGGAAUAUUGGUCAAUGGGCGCAAGCCUGAACCAGCCAUGCCGCGUGCAGGAAAGACGGCCUUAUGGGUUGUAAACUGCUUUUACAUAAGACUAACCGUAUAUUUGCGAAUAUACCUGAAUGUAUUAUGAGAAUAAGGAUCGGCUAACUCCGUGCCAGCCGCAGC